GAUGAAGAACGUAGCGAAAUGCGAUAAGUAAUGUGAAUUCCAGAAUUCAGUGAAUCAUCGAAUCUUUGAACGCACAUUGCGCCCGCUAGUAUUCUGGCGGGCAUGCCUGUUCGAGCGUCAUUUCAACCCUCAAGCCCCCUACGGGGCCUGGCGUUGGGGGACGGCACCCUCCCCCGGGUGCCGCCCCCGAAAGACAGUGGCGGCCCCGCCGUCUGCCUCCUCUGCGUAGUAGAAACACCUCGCACCGGGACGCGGCGCGGCCAUGCCGUAAAACCUCCAACUUCUGAAGGUUGACCUCGGAUCAGGUAGGAAUACCCGCUGAACUUAAGCAUAUCAAUAAGCGGAGGA
RNAcentral lists this unclassified non-coding RNA (348 nucleotides) under soil metagenome. RNAcentral's name for it is "partial contains 5.8S ribosomal RNA, internal transcribed spacer 2, and large subunit ribosomal RNA". The stretch from base 1 to 120 matches the Rfam family "5.8S ribosomal RNA", at positions 35 to 154 of the family's 154-position model. The record is from RNAcentral.